This 493-nucleotide ribosomal RNA is filed under the name uncultured bacterium. RNAcentral describes it as "partial 16S ribosomal RNA". It matches the Rfam family "Bacterial small subunit ribosomal RNA", at positions 29 to 507 of the family's 1533-position model. The record is from RNAcentral.
ACGAACGCUGGCGGCGUGCUUAACACAUGCAAGUCGAACGGAAAGGCCUGCUUUCCCUUGUGGAUUGCGGGUACUCGAGUGGCGAACGGGUAAGUAACACGUGAGUGAUCUGCCCCCAACUUGGGUAUAAGCCUGGGAAACUGGGCCUAAUUCCCGAUAGGACUGCAGGGUGGUGCCUGUGGUGGAAAACGAUUUUCUAGUGGUUGGGGAUGAGCUCGCGGCCUAUCAGCUUGUUGGUGGGGUAAUGGCCUACCAAGGCGGCGACGGGUAGCCGGCCUGAGAGGGUGGACGGCCACAUUGGGACUGAGAUACGGCCCAGACUCCUACGGGAGGCAGCAGUGGGGAAUAUUGCACAAUGGGCGGAAGCCUGAUGCAGCGACGCCGCGUGGGGGAUGACGGCCUUCGGGUUGUAAACUCCUUUCGACCGCGAGGAAGCCACCUGGUUGGAAGGGUGGUGACGGUAGUGGUAGAAGAAGCACCGGCUAACUACGUG